RNAcentral lists this ribosomal RNA (1460 nucleotides) under uncultured marine bacterium. RNAcentral describes it as "16S ribosomal RNA". It matches the Rfam family "Bacterial small subunit ribosomal RNA". The record is from RNAcentral.
GAGUUUGAUCAUGGCUCAGAUUGAACGCUGGCGGUAGGCUUAACACAUGCAAGUCGUGCGAGAAAGUAUCUUCGGAUAUGAGUAGAGCGGCGGACGGGUGAGUAACGCGUAGGAAUCUACCUAGUAGAAGGGGAUAGCCCGGGGAAACCCGGAUUAAUACCGUAUACCUCCUUCGGGAGAAAGAAGGCCUCUCUUUGAAGCUUUCGCUACUAGAUGAGCCUGCGUAAGAUUAGCUUGUUGGUGAGGUAAAGGCUCACCAAGGCGACGAUCUUUAGCUGGUCUGAGAGGACGAUCAGCCACAUUGGGACUGAGACACGGCCCAAACUCCUACGGGAGGCAGCAGUGGGGAAUCUUGCACAAUGGAGGAAACUCUGAUGCAGCGAUGCCGCGUGAGUGAAGAAGGCCUUUGGGUUGUAAAGCUCUUUCGUCGGGGAAGAAAAUGACUGUACCCGAAUAAGAAGGUCCGGCUAACUUCGUGCCAGCAGCCGCGGUAAUACGAAGGGACCUAGCGUAGUUCGGAAUUACUGGGCUUAAAGAGUUCGUAGGUGGUUGAAAAAGUUGGUGGUGAAAUCCCAGAGCUUAACUCUGGAACUGCCAUCAAAACUUUUCAGCUAGAGUAUGAUAGAGGAAAGCAGAAUUUCUAGUGUAGAGGUGAAAUUCGUAGAUAUUAGAAAGAAUACCAAUUGCGAAGGCAGCUUUCUGGAUCAUUACUGACACUGAGGAACGAAAGCAUGGGUAGCGAAGAGGAUUAGAUACCCUCGUAGUCCAUGCCGUAAACGAUGUGUGUUAGACGUUGGAAAUUUAUUUUCAGUGUCGCAGGGAAACCGAUAAACACACCGCCUGGGGAGUACGACCGCAAGGUUAAAACUCAAAUGAAUUGACGGGGACCCGCACAAGUAGUGGAGCAUGUGGUUUAAUUCGAAGAUACGCGCAGAACCUUACCAACACUUGACAUGUUCGUCGCGACUCUAAGAGAUUAGAGUUUUCGGUUCGGCCGGACGAAACACAGGUGCUGCAUGGCUGUCGUCAGCUCGUGUCGUGAGAUGUUGGGUUAAGUCCCGCAACGAGCGCAACCCUCACUUUUAGUUGCCAUCAUUAAGUUGGGCACUCUGAAAGAACUGCCAGUGAUAAGCUGGAGGAAGGUGGGGAUGACGUCAAGUCCUCAUGGCCCUUACGUGUUGGGCUACACACGUGCUACAAUGGCAUCUACAACAGGAAGCAAAACGGCAACGUUAAGCAAAUCCCGAAAAGAUGCCUCAGUUCGGAUUGCACUCUGCAACUCGAGUGCAUGAAGCUGGAAUUACUAGUAAUCGUGGAUCAGCGUGCCACGGUGAAUGCGUUCCCGGGUCUUGUACACACCGCCCGUCACACCAUGGGAGUUGGUUCUACCUUAAGGCAAGGUUUUAAACCCUUGACCACGGUAUAGUCAGCGACUGGGGUGAAGUCGUAACAAGGUAACC